UGUUUAUGAUGAUAACUUUUCUCAGCUCACUCAGAUUAACUUUAUGAUUGACAAACUUUAUCCUUUAUAACAUUCAUCUUAUAACUGAUUCAACA
RNAcentral lists this small nucleolar RNA (95 nucleotides) under Hanseniaspora osmophila. The record is from RNAcentral. Lineage: Eukaryota; Fungi; Ascomycota; Saccharomycetes; Saccharomycodales; Saccharomycodaceae.